RNAcentral lists this ribosomal RNA (355 nucleotides) under uncultured bacterium. RNAcentral's name for it is "partial 16S ribosomal RNA". It matches the Rfam family "Bacterial small subunit ribosomal RNA", at positions 338 to 710 of the family's 1533-position model. The record is from RNAcentral.
CCUACGGGAGGCAGCAGUGGGGAAUAUUGCACAAUGGGGGAAACCCUGAUGCAGCGACGCCGCGUGAGUGAUGAAGUCCUUCGGUAUGUAAAGCUCUUUUUGUAGGGAAGUAAAUGACGGUACCUGAGUCAUUAGCUCCGGCUACAUACGUGCCAGCUGCCGCGGUAAUACGUCGGGGGCGAGCGUUAUCCGGAUUAACUGGGUGUAAAGGGGGCGUAGACGGUUUGGCAAGUCAGUAGUGAAAGGCGGGGGCUCAACCGCCAAAUUGCACUUGAAACUGUAAGGUUGGAGUACAGGUGAGGUAAGUGGAAUUCGUGGUGUAGCGGUGAAAUUCGUAGAUAUUAGGAGGAACACC